GCCCUCCAGCUCCGGGCAGCAAAGCCGGGAAGACCCGUGGGGUCAGAGCAGAGAGAACCUACAGGACCGUGGGGUCAGCUACCGCGGAGCUGGCUUGCAGGCUUUCUCCAGACUCCCCUUCUCUCGCCGUACAAUGGCAACGCUGAGGGGUCGGUGUUGGGGGGAUAAUCUCCACCGGUCACUCUCGAGGCACUGGGUAAUGAAGCUUGUGAAGCUAAAAGAGUUAAAGCAAGCCAGCGUGUAAUCAUGAAGCAAAUAACAGGAAGAAAAUUUCAGGGAUCUGGGAAGUUGAAGACUUACUGGAGUUAACCCAAGAAAUCUGAGGUUUCCCUGAGAACUUUAAAGAUGUUGCAUCAUUGUCGUCUUGCUUGCAUUAGUUUCCAGUGAGAAAUCGUCUAUCAUCCAUAUCUUCAUUCCCCCUUAUGCUCGUGUCGUAGCCUGCCCACCACGGUGUGUAAUCCCAGAACGACCACGUCCCUGCGUCACAGGGCUGCACAAAGCGCUGGUAACAGCCACAUCGAGACGCGAACUUGUGGCACCAGGCCU
Molecule: non-coding RNA, 546 nt
Organism: Vicugna pacos (alpaca)
Lineage: Eukaryota; Metazoa; Chordata; Mammalia; Artiodactyla; Camelidae
Source: RefSeq, a predicted model, not a curated record